AUUGAACGCUGGCGGCAUGCUUUACACAUGCAAGUCGAACGGUAACAGGCCGCAAGGUGCUGACGAGUGGCGAACGGGUGCGUAAUGCAUCGGAACGUGCCCAGUCGUGGGGGAUAACUACUCUAAAGAGUAGCUAAUACCGCAUACGAUCUAUGGAUGAAAGCGGGGGACCGUAAGGCCUCGCGCGAUUGGAGCGGCCGAUGUCAGAUUAGGUAGUUGGUGGGGUAAAGGCUCACCAAGCCAACGAUCUGUAGCUGGUCUGAGAGGACGACCAGCCACACUGGGACUGAGACACGGCCCAGACUCCUACGGGAGGCAGCAGUGGGGAAUUUUGGACAAUGGGCGCAAGCCUGAUCCAGCAAUACCGCGUGCAGGAAGAAGGCCUUCGGGUUGUAAACUGCUUUUGUACGGAACGAAACGGCUCUGGUUAAUACCCGGGGCUAAUGACGGUACCGUAAGAAUAAGCACCGGCUAACUACGUG
RNAcentral lists this ribosomal RNA (482 nucleotides) under uncultured bacterium. RNAcentral describes it as "partial 16S ribosomal RNA". It matches the Rfam family "Bacterial small subunit ribosomal RNA", at positions 30 to 507 of the family's 1533-position model. The record is from RNAcentral.